Molecule: long non-coding RNA, 633 nt
Organism: Lepidothrix coronata (blue-crowned manakin)
Lineage: Eukaryota; Metazoa; Chordata; Aves; Passeriformes; Pipridae
Exons: 3
Source: RefSeq, a predicted model, not a curated record
AGGGGUUGCCAUGGAAACCACGCUGUCCUGAAGCAUCAGUAGAGCUGGUCUCUUCCCCACCUUUCUUCCCCCAGAAUGUUCUGCCAUGCUGCUGAGACAAUCCUCAGAUGUGUCCUGCUCUGUCCCACAUUCCAUCCCCAUGGCUGCACUAGCCCCAGCUGCCCACAGCUGCUCCCACCUGUCUGGUAGCAGCUUCCCCAGCCAUGAGGGGAUGGCCUGAUGGGAGACCUUUCACUGUCACAGCACUGGAGCAGCUCUCAUCUGGAGACACAGGCAGCCCUUGGACAAACCAAUAUGAAGAGGAUAUUAUUUCAUAAAGCCUUCAGGAUGAGAGAAACAUAACAUUCUCUUGUGUACCCCUGGGGAGAAUUUAAUAGUCAUGACUUCCCAAAGCAAAUCUUUAUGAGACCUGGAGGCAGAAAAGCCAUCACUGGACAAAGAAGAGCUUGGAUUUUGAGUGCUUUGGCUGAGCUAAUUCAAUUUACAGGCUCAUUAACCAGACUGCAAAUGAAAGGGGAAGACAGCACAUCUCCACAGGAACUCUCAGUGUCGCAACAGUCCCUGGGUCUUAAAACCUCAAGAGCCCCUGGUGCAGCAUCAGUCUGCUCAAAAUAGGAUCCAACAGGUCAAGAA